RNAcentral lists this unclassified non-coding RNA (242 nucleotides) under fungal sp. Its description in RNAcentral is "partial contains 5.8S ribosomal RNA, internal transcribed spacer 2, and large subunit ribosomal RNA". The record is from RNAcentral. Lineage: Eukaryota; Fungi.
CGCACAUUGCGCCUGUUAGUAUUCUGAUAGGCAUGCCUGUUCGAGCGUCAUUUCAACCCUCAGGCCCAGCCUGGCGUUGGGGCUCCGCGCUUGCGGACCCUGAAAUAUAGUGGCAGGCUCGCUAUAAGCUUCAGCGCAGUAGAUUUUCUUCGCUGGGAGUCUUUAGCGGGUGCUUGCCGUUAAACCCCCACUAUUUAACUAUGAUUGACCUCGGAUCAGGUAGGAAUACCCGCUGAACUUAA